Peromyscus maniculatus bairdii (prairie deer mouse) is the source of this 359-nucleotide non-coding RNA. The record is from RefSeq and is a predicted model, not a curated record. NCBI's taxonomy places the organism in Eukaryota, Metazoa, Chordata, Mammalia, Rodentia, Cricetidae.
ACCUGACCGGGCCUUGACGCGCGUCCGCGCCAUUUUUGGUACUGGUACGGCAGCCACACCUCACUCUUUCUGCAGGAUUCCGGAAAAUAGCGUCUUCGCAGUGCCUUCACGCUUCCCUGUUUAUAGGUAAGAGUCUUCAAAUUCUCACAUCUUUGGCUUGUGGUGGAAGGCAGUGUCGGUGUUACUCAAGGUGGAGGCUGUAGCCUGGGAUGGAUCCACAGACUGAUACCAUUCCAUGGGAAGCUCCAGUAAUCCCGAAGAGCCUUCCUGGCUGCACUAAAACAAGUUUGGUGUGUGAACAGACAAGCCUCCAUGACAUAAGCCAAGAAGCACAGAGUGAGUCUGGAGAGAUGGCUCAG